Molecule: ribosomal RNA, 554 nt
Filed under: Rhizophagus intraradices
Lineage: Eukaryota; Fungi; Glomeromycota; Glomeromycetes; Glomerales; Glomeraceae
Description: SSU rRNA
Rfam family: Eukaryotic small subunit ribosomal RNA
Source: RNAcentral
AAGUCUGGUGCCAGCAGCCGCGGUAAUUCCAGCUCCAAUAGCGUAUAUUAAAGUUGUUGCAGUUAAAAAGCUCGUAGUUGAAUUUCGGGGUUAGUAGGCUGGUCAUGCCACCGGUAUGUACUGGUCUUUCUGAUUCCUCCUUCCUGAUGAACUGUAAUGCCAUUAAUUUGGUGUUGCAGGGAAUCUGGACUGUUACUUUGAAAAAAUUAGAGUGUUUAAAGCAGGCUAACGCUUGAAUACAUUAGCAUGGAAUAAUGAAAUAGGACGUUCGAUCCUAUUUUGUUGGUUUCUAGGAUUGACGUAAUGAUUAAUAGGGAUAGUUGGGGGCAUUAGUAUUCAAUUGUCAGAGGUGAAAUUCUUGGAUUUAUUGAAGACUAACUACUGCGAAAGCAUUUGCCAAGGAUGUUUUCAUUAAUCAAGAACGAAAGUUAGGGGAUCGAAGACGAUCAGAUACCGUCGUAGUCUUAACCAUAAACUAUGCCGACUAGGGAUCGGAUGAUGUUAAUUUUUUAAUGACUCAUUCGGCGCCUUACGGGAAACCAAAGUGUUUGGGU